RNAcentral lists this non-coding RNA (29 nucleotides) under Mus musculus (house mouse). Lineage: Eukaryota; Metazoa; Chordata; Mammalia; Rodentia; Muridae. The record is from RNAcentral.
UGAGCUUCCCAGAUCUUAAGGUGGUCUAA